CAGGGGGUGCUAGCGUUGUUCGGAAUUACUGGGCGUAAAGGGCGCGUAGGCGGUUUAGCAAGUCAGAUGUGAAAGCCCGGGGCUUAACUCCGGAAGUGCAUUUGAAACUGCUAGGCUAGAGUGCAGUAGAGGUUAUUGGAAUUCCCAGUGUAGAGGUGAAAUUCGUAGAUAUUGGGAGGAACACCAGUGGCGAAGGCGGAUAACCGGGCUGUAACUGACGCUGAGGCGCGAAAGCGUGGGGAUCAAACAGGAUUAGAUACCCUGGUAGUCCACGCCGUAAACGAUGGAUACUCGCUGUGGCUGGUAUUGACCCCGGCCGUAGCCAAGUUAACACGAUAAGUAUCCCGCCUGGGAAGUACGGUCGCAAGAUUA
RNAcentral lists this ribosomal RNA (372 nucleotides) under uncultured organism. Its description in RNAcentral is "bacterial SSU rRNA". It matches the Rfam family "Bacterial small subunit ribosomal RNA", at positions 526 to 896 of the family's 1533-position model. The record is from RNAcentral.